GACGAACGCUGGCGGCGUGCUUAACACAUGCAAGUCGAGCGGUGCGGCCAACGGGCGAGUAACGCGGGAGUAACUGCCCCCCUCCCUGGGAUAACAGUUGGAAACGGCUGCUAAUACCGGAUAGUGGGGGAUGACUCGCGGCCUAUCAGCUUGUUGGUUGGGUAGUGGCCUACCAAGGCGACGGCGGGUAGCCGGCCUGAGAGGGCGACCGGCCACAUUGGGCUGAGCUACGGCCCAGACUCGUACGGGGGGCAGCAGUGGGGAAUAUUGCACAAUGGGGGAAACCCUAAUGCAGCAACGCCGCGUGCGGAAUGACGGCCUUCGGGUUGUAAACCGCUUUCAGCCAUGACGCGGUAGUGGCAGAAGAAGCACCGGCUAACUACGUGCCAGCCGCCGCGGUAAUAC
This 405-nucleotide ribosomal RNA is filed under the name uncultured bacterium. RNAcentral's name for it is "partial 16S ribosomal RNA". It matches the Rfam family "Bacterial small subunit ribosomal RNA", at positions 28 to 526 of the family's 1533-position model. The record is from RNAcentral.